AGCAGCCGCGGUAAUUCCAGCUCCAAUAGCGUAUAUUAAAGUUGUUGCAGUUAAAAAGCUCGUAGUUGAAUUUCGGGGUUAGUAGGUUGGUCAUGCCUCUGGUAUGUACUGGUCUCACUGAUUCCCCCUUCUGAUGAACCUUAAUGCCAUUAAUUUGGUGUUUUGGGGAAUUUGGACUGUUACUUUGAAAAAUUGAGUGUUUAAAGCAAGCUAACGCUUGAAUACAUUAGCAUGGAAUAAUGAAAUAGGACGUUCGAUCCUAUUUUGUUGGUUUCUAGGAUUGACGUAAUGAUUAAUAGGGAUAGUUGGGGCAUUAGUAUUCAAUUGUCAGAGGUGAAAUUCUUGGAUUUAUUGGAGACUAACUACUGCGAAAGCAUUUGCCAAGGAUGUUUUCAUUAAUCAAGAACGAAAGUUAGGGAUCGAAGACGAUCAGAUACCGUCGUAGUAC
RNAcentral lists this ribosomal RNA (448 nucleotides) under uncultured Glomus. RNAcentral's name for it is "SSU rRNA". It matches the Rfam family "Eukaryotic small subunit ribosomal RNA", at positions 569 to 1026 of the family's 1831-position model. The record is from RNAcentral. Lineage: Eukaryota; Fungi; Glomeromycota; Glomeromycetes; Glomerales; Glomeraceae.